This 375-nucleotide ribosomal RNA is filed under the name uncultured organism. RNAcentral describes it as "partial 16S ribosomal RNA". It matches the Rfam family "Bacterial small subunit ribosomal RNA", at positions 527 to 896 of the family's 1533-position model. The record is from RNAcentral.
GUAGGUGGCAAGCGUUGUCCGGAAUUAUUGGGCGUAAAGCGCGCGCAGGCGGUUCUUUAAGUCUGAUGUGAAAGCCCACGGCUCAACCGUGGAGGGUCAUUGGAAACUGGAGAACUUGAGUGCAGAAGAGGAAAGCGGAAUUCCACGUGUAGCGGUGAAAUGCGUAGAGAUGUGGAGGAACACCAGUGGCGAAGGCGGCUUUCUGGUCUGUAACUGACGCUGAGGCGCGAAAGCGUGGGGGAGCAAACAGGAUUAGAUACCCUGGUAGUCCACGCCGUAAACGAUGAGUGCUAAGUGUUAGGGGGUCUCCGCCCCCCCCUUAGUGCUGCAGCUAACGCAUUAAGCACUCCGCCUGGGAGUACGGCCGCAAGGCUG